This is a long non-coding RNA of Pseudoliparis swirei, 1561 nucleotides long. RefSeq lists it as uncharacterized. The transcript has 4 exons. The record is from RefSeq and is a predicted model, not a curated record. NCBI's taxonomy places the organism in Eukaryota, Metazoa, Chordata, Actinopteri, Perciformes, Liparidae.
AAGACAGAAAUGUUUGUGAGAAUACACAGAUCUUCAGGAUGCUCAACUUUCUUCAUUAACAAAUUAAACAACCACAAUUGCUCACACAUCAAACUGUUGUUUAUUGUGAAUCUGAAACACAACGACAUAAAACAUUUAGAAAAGGAAACACGGCCACGAUGUAACAAGUUUAUGUAGCAACCAACUGACGCUGUAAGCUACUCGUGGUAAUAUCGAUCUUUUUCAAAUGCAACAUACAUAUUUUACCUUUGAGAACCAGUUCUCAAUUUGAUUUUAUUAAGUUGGGAAAGCAAUGUUUAAGUCAAGCCUGAUGUGGCCGUCCUUACACAUAAAAGAUUGAUCCCAGUUUCUGUACACAGUGAGGCAAACAGCUUAUUAAUGAGUAACUGGUAUUUGAUCAGUACUCAGCGUCUGCCAAUAUCCAAAGCUCAACUCUCUGUAUUGUUACCCGGACUGAAAGGACGGGUUGGUGCAUCACUAACUGAGAGGCACGGAAAGGAAACAGUGUUCUAGCUGUAGGACGAGGAGAGGGGGAGAUCAGGAAACUCCAGACUGGGAGCCGUUGGAUACGUUUCCCUCUCAGAACAUAGUUCAUACCACAGCACAGUGGGACGUCCAAGAUUUAAGUGCACCAAAAAAGAAUAGUGUCAUAAAGUUAAAAGCAUGAUUCUGGGGUACCUUUAAAUCUUGUCGUGACAAGUUGAAAUACUAAAUCGUAUUCACAAGCAGCUGCAGGUGACAAGAUCCUUUGGCUGGAGAGAGGAGCCCAGGGAGCAGGAACAAAACAGAGCAAAUCCAUCACGAUAGCAUGUGGCUCCAGAGCUGCAUGCCAACAAGGUGUUUACCUCGUUUCAUACAGUACAGGUGAGGGACUGCACCACAAUUAACUUGAGCUUAAGUGAGCAGAAGCACUUUGUCACAGCGAUGGGCUCGCGGCAACACAAACUAAUGUUGAGCAACAAAUUGCAAAAACAAAAUGCCACUGCAUGCGAGAUCCUGGUUGUACACCUAAUCAAGCCAUUGACUAGCUUUGUUCUAAUUCUUUUUUUGAAUUCAAAAAGCCUGCAAUGGAAACCUUUGCAAGAUGACUCUGUAUGUCUUGACUUUGCUGGUCGGCCGUUUACUCCACCUGGGUGUCUUCUCUUGUCGUUCAACUGUUUGCAAGUUAUAUAUUUCAUUUAGUCUGUAUGCUUUUACGUUGUGUCUCUGACAUGUUUUUAUUCUGUCCAUUUUAACAUUGUUCUCCCUUAUUUUAUUUGCUUUGUCUGUCGAUUGUAAUCUUAUGUUUUUAGGUUUGUUCGUAACAUCAGCAUCACUGGGACUACAGAUGAAAAAUAGCCUCUUGGCUAACUCUGGCACAUUUACUGAAAUGUUUUCAUCAAUUUUCGGCAAUCAUGAGCUAAGAACAUCUCCUGUAUCUCCCGCUGGACCAUUUAUUUCUGGCACAAGACCUUCUCUCAGGGGUCAGACUGGAAAUAGUGAGCCACGAUGCAGCAAGCCUUACCUCAAAGAGCUUUAAUAAGGUUUUCAUGUAAAGACGUCGGAUGCCAAAGGACAGCCC